CUGACCUCAAAUCAGGUAGGAUUACCCGCUGAACUUAAGCAUAUCAAUAAGCGGAGGAAAAGAAACUAACAAGGAUUCCCCUAGUAACUGCGAGUGAAGCGGGAAAAGCUCAAAUUUAAAAUCUGGUAGUCUUUGGCUGCCCGAGUUGUAGUCUAGAGAAGUGUUUUCCGCGCUGGACCGUGUACAAGUCUCUUGGAACAGAGCGUCAUAGAGGGUGAGAAUCCCGUCUUUGACACGGACUACCAGUGCUUUGUGAUGCGCUCUCAAAGAGUCGAGUUGUUUGGGAAUGCAGCUCAAAAUGGGUGGUAAAUUCCAUCUAAAGCUAAAUAUUGGCGAGAGACCGAUAGCGAACAAGUACCGUGAGGGAAAGAUGAAAAGCACUUUGGAAAGAGAGUUAAACAGUACGUGAAAUUGUUGAAAGGGAAACGCUUGAAGUCAGUCGCGUCGUCCAGAACUCAACCUGGCUUUCGCUUGGUGCACUUUCUGGUUGACGGGCCAACAUCAGUUUUGACUGUCGGAAAAAGUCCUUGGGAAUGUGGCACCUUCGGGUGUGUUAUAGCCCUUGGUCGUAUACGAUGGUUGGGACUGAGGACCGCAGCACGCCUUUUGGCCGGGGUUCGCCCACGUACGUGCUUAGGAUGUUGGCGUAAUGGCUUUAAGCGACCCGUC
RNAcentral lists this ribosomal RNA (669 nucleotides) under Hyphoderma sp. MLB-2010. Its description in RNAcentral is "eukaryotic LSU rRNA". It matches the Rfam family "Eukaryotic large subunit ribosomal RNA", at positions 1 to 653 of the family's 3401-position model. The record is from RNAcentral. Lineage: Eukaryota; Fungi; Basidiomycota; Agaricomycetes; Polyporales; Hyphodermataceae.